AUUUCGUGAUGAGGGCACUUCCGUAAUAAUUCUUUGUACCUUUCCCAUGCCUCACACAAGGACUCAUCAUCUAUUUUUUGGAAAGCAAUGAUCUUGUAACACCCCAAACCU
This 111-nucleotide small nucleolar RNA is filed under the name Gossypium hirsutum (cotton). RNAcentral's name for it is "Plant small nucleolar RNA R71". It matches the Rfam family "Plant small nucleolar RNA R71". From Rfam's summary of the family: R71 is a member of the C/D box family of snoRNAs containing the C (UGAUGA) and D (CUGA) box motifs. Multiple nearly identical copies of this snoRNA have been identified in Arabidopsis, and it is thought to function as a 2'-O-ribose methylation guide for 18S ribosomal RNA. Lineage: Eukaryota; Viridiplantae; Streptophyta; Magnoliopsida; Malvales; Malvaceae. The record is from Rfam by way of RNAcentral.